ACCUUAGCACGGUCAGGAUACAGUGCAAAGGUAGCAUAAUAAUUUGUCUCCUAAUUAGAGACUGGAAUGAAUGGAAUCACGAGAGUCUAACUGUUUCUUUUCUACAUAUAAAAACUAACCUUUAAGUGAAGAGGCUUAAAUACUAUAAAAAGACAAAAAGACCCUAUCGAGCUUGAUUUAAAAGUAUGCCCUCAUACCUAAAAUUUUGUUGGGGUAACAAGAGAAAAUCUAAAUCUUCUCUUUUAUAUAUAAAGAUCCGCUAUGCGAUUAAAAAGUAAAGCUACCGUAGGGAUAACAGGCUAAUUCUUUUUGAGAGACCUUAUUGACAAAAGAGAUUGGCAC
RNAcentral lists this ribosomal RNA (342 nucleotides) under Spio sp. GF-8684_18404. RNAcentral's name for it is "partial large subunit ribosomal RNA". It matches the Rfam family "Bacterial large subunit ribosomal RNA", at positions 1925 to 2524 of the family's 2925-position model. Lineage: Eukaryota; Metazoa; Annelida; Polychaeta; Spionida; Spionidae. The record is from RNAcentral.